Dromaius novaehollandiae (emu) is the source of this 755-nucleotide long non-coding RNA. RefSeq lists it as uncharacterized. The record is from RefSeq and is a predicted model, not a curated record. NCBI's taxonomy places the organism in Eukaryota, Metazoa, Chordata, Aves, Casuariiformes, Dromaiidae. The transcript is spliced from 4 exons.
GAACCACCUCCUGCGGAGGGGCCAGGCCCAGCGUCCCCCCGACCGCACAGACCGGCCCUGCUGCGGAAAGAAGCCUCUCUCUACCCUUCCCCUCCUGCGCUGCCCUCUCCCCUGUGCCAGCACACGCCUCCCUGCUGCCACAGUGAGCCAGGCCGGAGGCAGUGCGGACAUGCAGAACAGCGUGUGAGAUCGCGCAUGUCACAGAUGUCAACCGCAAUGUCCAAGGCAAAACUGGAAGGAAUUAGGAUGCUAAGCGCAGCUGGAUCAGCCCGCUGAUGCCGACCGGUGCGAGGUGCUGCGCUACCCGCCGCAGGUAACCGAAGCACGGCAGGCACGUCUGCGGACGGGCGCUGAUUUGGAGCACGGUGGUCAGGAGUUCUUCUGAUCAGAACAACUGAUCAGAACGAUUAUUGGGAAACAUACCAUUUUUUAACCUCCUGGAGUGGAAGACUUCGCUGAAGAACUGACACUAAGGAGAUGUAAGGACUACACUCCCACUUGGCAGAAGAGAGGGAAGUCUCCCAGAAGAAGAGUGGUGCACCCUCCUGCAGGAGCAGUCUGGCUGGCCCCGCAGCCCUACCCGGCAGGAAAAGCAUGACAAACAUCUUACCUUUAAAGCUGGAGUUGCAUAUAUUGUGGAUACUGUGCUACUGUGCUUUUCAUCCCAUCCAAAAUAUCAGCUGUCUACAGCUACAGACUGACCACUUUUGAAAUAAUGUGUAUGUGCUUGUGGGGGAAUAAAAGAAUUGAAUGAC